RNAcentral lists this ribosomal RNA (71 nucleotides) under Lyophyllum decastes. RNAcentral's name for it is "partial 18S ribosomal RNA". The record is from RNAcentral. Lineage: Eukaryota; Fungi; Basidiomycota; Agaricomycetes; Agaricales; Lyophyllaceae.
UGAAGUAAAAAAGCGUAACAAGGUUUCCGUAGGUGAACCUGCGGAAGGAUCCCGUUUGUGACUGCGGAGGA